AGUGAACGCUGGCGGUAGGCCUAACACAUGCAAGUCGAACGGCAGCACAGUAAGAGCUUGCUCUUACGGGUGGCGAGUGGCGGACGGGUGAGGAAUACAUCGGAAUCUACUUUUUCGUGGGGGAUAACGUAGGGAAACUUACGCUAAUACCGCAUACGACCUACGGGUGAAAGCAGGGGAUCUUCGGACCUUGCGCGAUUGAAUGAGCCGAUGUCGGAUUAGCUAGUUGGCGGGGUAAAGGCCCACCAAGGCGACGAUCCGUAGCUGGUCUGAGAGGAUGAUCAGCCACACUGGAACUGAGACACGGUCCAGACUCCUACGGGAGGCAGCAGUGGGGAAUAUUGGACAAUGGGCGCAAGCCUGAUCCAGCCAUACCGCGUGGGUGAGGAAGGCCUUCGGGUUGUAAAGCCCUUUUGUUGGGAAAGAAAAGCAGCAGGUUAAUACCCCGCUGUUCUGACGGUACCCAAAGAAUAAGCACCGGCUAACCUCGUG
RNAcentral lists this ribosomal RNA (492 nucleotides) under uncultured bacterium. RNAcentral describes it as "partial 16S ribosomal RNA". It matches the Rfam family "Bacterial small subunit ribosomal RNA", at positions 29 to 507 of the family's 1533-position model. The record is from RNAcentral.